Molecule: non-coding RNA, 46 nt
Organism: Trichobilharzia regenti
Lineage: Eukaryota; Metazoa; Platyhelminthes; Trematoda; Strigeidida; Schistosomatidae
Source: Rfam
GUACUGCUGAAGAAUCCAAAACUAGGACGAUACGGCUGUUCAGUAC